CAGUAGCCGCGGUAAUACGUAGGUGGCAAGCGUUGUCCGGAAUUAUUGGGCGUAAAGGGCUCGCAGGCGGUUUCUUAAGUCUGAUGUGAAAGCCCCCGGCUCAACCGGGGAGGGUCAUUGGAAACUGGGAGACUUGAGUGCAGAAGAGGAGAGUGGAAUUCCACGUGUAGCGGUGAAAUGCGUAGAGAUGUGGGGGAACACCAGUGGCGAAGGCGACUCUCUGGUCUGUAACUGACGCUGAGGAGCGAAAGCGUGGGGAGCGAACAGGAUUAGAGACCCCUGUAGUCCCUGUCUCUUAUAC
Molecule: ribosomal RNA, 301 nt
Filed under: uncultured bacterium
Lineage: Bacteria
Description: partial 16S ribosomal RNA
Rfam family: Bacterial small subunit ribosomal RNA
Source: RNAcentral